GUAGGGUGCGAGCGUUAAUCGGAAUUACUGGGCGUAAAGCGUGCGCAGGCGGUUCGUUGUGUCGGUGGUGAAAUCCCCGGGCUUAACCUGGGAAUGGCCAUGGAAACUGGCGAACUGGAGUGCGGCAGAGGGGGGUGGAAUUCCGCGUGUAGCAGUGAAAUGCGUAGAGAUGCGGAGGAACACCGAUGGCGAAGGCAGCCCCCUGGGCUAGCACUGACGCUCAGGCACGAAAGCGUGGGGAGCAAACAGGAUUAGAUACCCUGGUAGUCCACGCCCUAAACCAUGUCAACUGGGUGUUCGGGAAGCGAUUUCUGAGUACCGUAGCUAACGCGUGAAGUUGACCGCCUGGGGAGUACGGCCGCAAGACUG
Molecule: ribosomal RNA, 369 nt
Filed under: uncultured bacterium
Lineage: Bacteria
Description: bacterial SSU rRNA
Rfam family: Bacterial small subunit ribosomal RNA
Source: RNAcentral